This 253-nucleotide ribosomal RNA is filed under the name uncultured bacterium. RNAcentral describes it as "partial 16S ribosomal RNA". It matches the Rfam family "Bacterial small subunit ribosomal RNA", at positions 524 to 776 of the family's 1533-position model. The record is from RNAcentral.
UACGUAGGGCGCAAGCGUUGUCCGGAAUUAUUGGGCGUAAAGAGCUCGUAGGCGGCCUGUCGCGUCUGCUGUGAAAUCCCGGGGCUUAACCCCGGGCGUGCAGUGGAUACGGGCUGGCUGGAGGCAGGCAGGGGAGAACGGAAUUCCCGGUGUAGCGGUGAAAUGCGCAGAUAUCGGGAGGAACACCGGUGGCGAAGGCGGUUCUCUGGGACGGUACUGACGCUGAGACGCGAAAGCGUGGGGAGCGAACAGG